AUCGCUUCUUGGCCUUUUGGCUAAGAUCAAGUGCAGUAUCUGUUCUUAUCAGUUUAAAAAUGCAGAUUGAUCUCCCAGCGGUAGGCAUAUUUCUAUCCUUAUAUUUCACCCACAGAUAUUCUUUUUGUUUUGCAAGUGAUCUGUGUUCUUCCACUACUGUGGGCUUUCUGU
Molecule: small nuclear RNA, 171 nt
Filed under: Moschus moschiferus (Siberian musk deer)
Lineage: Eukaryota; Metazoa; Chordata; Mammalia; Artiodactyla; Moschidae
Description: U2 spliceosomal RNA (ENSMMSG00000023275.1)
Rfam family: U2 spliceosomal RNA
About the family: U2 is a small nuclear RNA (snRNA) component of the spliceosome (involved in pre-mRNA splicing).
Source: Rfam by way of RNAcentral